Molecule: non-coding RNA, 57 nt
Submitted as: unclassified sequences
Source: Rfam
UUCGUUCAUUUUGAUUAUUUUCAAAACGGAAGUAGACAUAAGUCGAAGGAACGCGUG